GCUGAUGUAGCUCAGUUGGCAGAGCAGCUGUUUUGUAAACAGCAGGUCGUCGGUUCGACCCCGACCAUCAGCU
This 73-nucleotide transfer RNA is filed under the name Candidatus Beckwithbacteria bacterium CG10_big_fil_rev_8_21_14_0_10_34_10. RNAcentral describes it as "tRNA-Thr". It matches the Rfam family "tRNA". From Rfam's summary of the family: Transfer RNA (tRNA) molecules are approximately 80 nucleotides in length. Their secondary structure includes four short double-helical elements and three loops (D, anti-codon, and T loops). Further hydrogen bonds mediate the characteristic L-shaped molecular structure. tRNAs have two regions of fundamental functional importance: the anti-codon, which is responsible for specific mRNA codon recognition, and the 3' end, to which the tRNAs corresponding amino acid is attached (by aminoacyl-tRNA synthetases). tRNAs cope with the degeneracy of the genetic code in two manners: having more than one tRNA (with a specific anti-codon) for a particular amino acid; and 'wobble' base-pairing, i.e. permitting non-standard base-pairing at the 3rd anti-codon position. The record is from RNAcentral. Lineage: Bacteria; Candidatus Beckwithiibacteriota.